This is a non-coding RNA of Kluyvera intermedia, 157 nucleotides long. NCBI's taxonomy places the organism in Bacteria, Pseudomonadati, Pseudomonadota, Gammaproteobacteria, Enterobacterales, Enterobacteriaceae. The record is from Rfam.
GGGUGCCUGAGGCUUUCUGAGUCAGGCAUUUGCAGGGUUCAGAAAGGUGAAAGCCCCAGGAAAGAGUGUUAUCAACCUGAGGCUUACAUCCCAACCCUCGACAAGUUGGUUGUUAGUCUCUUUUUUGCAAGGAGGCAAUGACAUGCUAACAACGAAG